Molecule: ribosomal RNA, 343 nt
Filed under: Dohrniphora rectilinearis
Lineage: Eukaryota; Metazoa; Arthropoda; Insecta; Diptera; Phoridae
Description: partial 12S ribosomal RNA
Source: RNAcentral
AAUGUAAUUUUAAAAACUUGAGUAUUAAUAGUUAUAUUCUUUAAACUUAAAAAAUUUGGCGGUAUUUUAGUCUAUUCAGAGGAACCUGUUUUUUAAUCGAUAUUCCGCGUUGGACCUUACUUAAUUUUAUAGAUUAGUUUGUAUACCGUUGUUAUAGAAAAUUUUGUAAGGAAAAUAAUUUUCAAUAAAUUUUAUUAAAUUUAAUAUCAAAUCAAGGUGCAGCAUAUAAUUAAGAUAAUAAUGGGUUACAAUAAAAUAAUUUAUAUGGAAAUAAUAAUGCAAAAAUUAUUAAAAGUGGAUUUGAAAGUAAAAUUAUAAAGAUUAGUAGUUUGAUUUUAGCUCU